UCAUUAAACUAAUACUGAUUCCUGCCACCCCCCCUUAUAGGAUAUUUGGGAUAUACCAGUGGCCUUUCCUUGUUGUGUAUGGUGUUCUUUCUGAUUGUGGUGGGUAUGAUUUUUUUUAGAAAAAAUUUUUUAUAAGCCCUGCCAUGUCACUUAGUUUAACACAUGCAAAAUAAUAUAUUUUUAGGUCAUUUGCAAGAAAUUUCAGGUUCCGUGUCCUGUGGAAGCUGCUUUGAUAAUUAACGAAACAAUAAACACCACCUUAACACAGCCAACAGCUCUUGUACCUGAUUUGUCACAUAAUGUGACUGAAAAUGACGCUUGCAGACCUCACUAUUUUAUUUUCAACUCACAGACUGUCUAUGCUGUGCCAAUUCUGAUCUUUUCAUUUGUCUGCCAUCCUGCUGUUCUUCCCAUCUAUGAAGAACUGAAAGACCGCAGCCGUAGAAGAAUGAUGAAUGUGUCCAAGAUUUCAUUUUUUGCUAUGUUUCUCAUGUAUCUGCUUGCCGCCCUCUUUGGAUACCUAACAUUUUACGAACAUGUUGAGUCAGAAUUGCUUCAUACCUA
Molecule: small RNA, 564 nt
Filed under: Pongo abelii (Sumatran orangutan)
Lineage: Eukaryota; Metazoa; Chordata; Mammalia; Primates; Hominidae
Description: retained intron
Source: RNAcentral